AGACGGAGGGCGCAAGCGUUGUUCGGAAUUACUGGGCGUAAAGGGCGGGUAGGCGGUCCGUUAAGUCGUUUGUGAAAAUCCGGGGCUCAACCCCGCGAAAUGCAAACGAUACUGGCAGACUGGAGACCGGUAGAGGCUAGCGGAAUUCCUGGUGUAGCGGUGGAAUGCGUAGAUAUCAGGAAGAACACCUGUGGCGAAGGCGGCUAGCUGGGCCGGGUCUGACGCUGAACCGCGAAAGCCAGGGGAGCAAACGGGAUUAGAAACCCCGGUAGUCC
RNAcentral lists this ribosomal RNA (275 nucleotides) under uncultured bacterium. RNAcentral describes it as "partial 16S ribosomal RNA". It matches the Rfam family "Bacterial small subunit ribosomal RNA", at positions 523 to 796 of the family's 1533-position model. The record is from RNAcentral.